Gossypium arboreum is the source of this 291-nucleotide long non-coding RNA. RefSeq lists it as uncharacterized. The record is from RefSeq and is a predicted model, not a curated record. Lineage: Eukaryota; Viridiplantae; Streptophyta; Magnoliopsida; Malvales; Malvaceae. The transcript has 2 exons.
UGAAAUAUGAAAUUUUAUUAAAAGAAAAAGGGGUGAAAAGAACAAAGUUUUGUCCAUCUUUGUUCAUCAUAGCUGAAAGUUAGAGAAGAGAAAGGAGAGGAGAAAGCUCUUGAAUGUUCGGUCACUUGGGGAAGAAAAUUGAAGGAAAUCCCCAACCAUAGUGGGCUUGGAGCUGUGAGGGAAUUCGGAGUGGCCACCCGUUCUGAAAGUUUGGUUUUCUUCUGGUGAACUGGACAUCCUAUUAUUUACGUUGAGGUUUGGGUUUUUAAAUGUAAUAAGGCCGCUUAAUUA